This 550-nucleotide ribosomal RNA is filed under the name uncultured bacterium. RNAcentral describes it as "bacterial SSU rRNA". It matches the Rfam family "Bacterial small subunit ribosomal RNA", at positions 355 to 896 of the family's 1533-position model. The record is from RNAcentral.
UAGGGAAUCUUCGGCAAUGGGGGCAACCCUGACCGAGCAACGCCGCGUGAGUGAAGAAGGUNUUCGGAUCGUAAAGCUCUGUUGUAAGAGAAGAACGAGUGUGAGAGUGGAAAGUUCACACUGUGACGGUAACUUACCAGAAAGGGACGGCUAACUACGUGCCAGCAGCCGCGGUAAUACGUAGGUCCCGAGCGUUAUCCGGAUUUAUUGGGCGUAAAGCGAGCGCAGGCGGUUAGAUAAGUCUGAAGUUAAAGGCUGUGGCUUAACCAUAGUACGCUUUGGAAACUGUUUAACUUGAGUGCAGAAGGGGAGAGUGGAAUUCCAUGUGUAGCGGUGAAAUGCGUAGAUAUAUGGAGGAACACCGGUGGCGAAAGCGGCUCUCUGGUCUGUAACUGACGCUGAGGCUCGAAAGCGUGGGGAGCAAACAGGAUUAGAUACCCUGGUAGUCCACGCCGUAAACGAUGAGUGCUAGGUGUUGGGUCCUUUCCGGGACUCAGUGCCGCAGCUAACGCAUUAAGCACUCCGCCUGGGGAGUACGACCGCAAGGUUG